Non-coding RNA from Triticum aestivum (bread wheat), 136 nucleotides. The record is from Rfam. NCBI's taxonomy places the organism in Eukaryota, Viridiplantae, Streptophyta, Magnoliopsida, Poales, Poaceae.
UGUGUACUCCCUUUGUUCCAAAAUACUUGACUUCCAUUUGUCCAAAAAUGGAUGUACCUAUAUACUAAAACAUGUCUAGAUACAUAUAUAUUUUUACAAAUAGAAGGCAUGUAUUGUGCAAUGGAGGGAGUAGAAU